This 254-nucleotide ribosomal RNA is filed under the name uncultured bacterium. Its description in RNAcentral is "partial 16S ribosomal RNA". It matches the Rfam family "Bacterial small subunit ribosomal RNA", at positions 524 to 776 of the family's 1533-position model. The record is from RNAcentral.
UACGUAGGGGGCGAGCGUUGUCCGGAUUUAUUGGGCGUAAAAGGCUUGUAGGUGGCCACGCGAAGUAGGAUGUGAAAUCUCCCGGCUCAACUGGGAGGGGUCAUUCGAUACUGGCGGGCUCGAGGCCGGUAGGGGGAAGCGGAAUUCCCGGUGUAGUGGUGAAAUACGUAGAUAUCAGGAGGAACACCGGUGGCGAAGGCGGCGAUCUGGCCCAACACUGACACUGAGACCCAAAAGCGUGGGGAUCAAACAGG